RNAcentral lists this ribosomal RNA (384 nucleotides) under Prymnesium sp. RNAcentral describes it as "partial small subunit ribosomal RNA". It matches the Rfam family "Eukaryotic small subunit ribosomal RNA", at positions 587 to 975 of the family's 1831-position model. The record is from RNAcentral. Lineage: Eukaryota; Haptophyta; Prymnesiales; Prymnesiaceae.
AGCUCCAAUAGCGUAUAUUAAAGUUGUUGCAGUUAAAACGCUCGUAGUCGGAUUUCGGGGCGGGGCCGCCGGUCUGCCGAUGGGUAUGCACUGGCGGUCGCGUCCUUCCUUCCGGAGACUGGCCCUACUCUUAACUGAGCGGGGUCGGGAGACGGAUCGUUUACUUUGAAAAAAUCAGAGUGUUUCAAGCAGGCAGCUCGCUCUUGCAUGGAUUAGCAUGGGAUAAUGAAAUAGGACUUUGGUGCUAUUUUGUUGGUUUCGAACACCGAAGUAAUGAUUAACAGGGACAGUCAGGGGCACUCGUAUUCCGCCGAGAGAGGUGAAAUUCUCAGACCAGCGGAAGACGAACUACUGCGAAAGCAUUUGCCAGGGAUGUUUUCACUG